This 406-nucleotide ribosomal RNA is filed under the name uncultured bacterium. RNAcentral's name for it is "partial 16S ribosomal RNA". It matches the Rfam family "Bacterial small subunit ribosomal RNA", at positions 30 to 526 of the family's 1533-position model. The record is from RNAcentral.
AUUGAACGCUGGCGGCAGGCCUAACACAUGCAAGUCGAACGAGUGGCGGACGGGUGAGUAAUGUCUGGGAAACUGCCUGAUGGAGGGGGAUAACUACGGGAAACGGUAGCUAAUACCGCAUACCAUCAGAUGUGCCCAGGUGGGAUUAGCUAGUAGGUGGGGUAACGGCUCACCUAGGCGACGAUCCCUAGCUGGUCUGAGAGGAUGACCAGCCACACUGGAACUGAGACACGGUCCAGACUCCUACGGGAGGCAGCAGUGGGGAAUAUUGCACAAUGGGCGCAAGCCUGAUACAGCCAUGCCGCGUGUAUGAAGAAGGCCUUCGGGUUGUAAAGUACUUUCAGCGGGGAGGCGUUACCCGCAGAAGAAGCACCGGCUAACUCCGUGCCAGCAGCCGCGGUAAUAC